UUAGGUAGCCCAUUGAAGGAGCAGAUUCACCCGGCAGCAGCAUCCUGUUACACCCAGCAUGGAGCUCCUCUAUCUCCUGGCUUCUCUCCAGAUCCUUCCCCGGCUGGUGUCACCUGCAGUCCCCCUGCAAGCCCCAAUAAUCAUCAUGGACCACCAGCACCCUGUGUAUUUCCCGGGGGAGCGUCUCACCCUCAGAUGCUCAGCCCCUAGCGGGGAGGCAGUGACCAGCUACCAG
This is a long non-coding RNA of Chelonoidis abingdonii (Abingdon island giant tortoise), 235 nucleotides long. RefSeq lists it as uncharacterized. NCBI's taxonomy places the organism in Eukaryota, Metazoa, Chordata, Testudines, Testudinidae. The record is from RefSeq and is a predicted model, not a curated record.